This 322-nucleotide ribosomal RNA is filed under the name uncultured eukaryote. Its description in RNAcentral is "partial 18S ribosomal RNA". It matches the Rfam family "Eukaryotic small subunit ribosomal RNA", at positions 1470 to 1796 of the family's 1831-position model. The record is from RNAcentral.
CCCUUAGAUGUUCUGGGCCGCACGCGUGCUACACUGAGUGGAUCAGCGGGUCAGGUUGCGCGAAAGUGUUUCCUAAUCUUUAAAUCCGCUCGUGAUGGGGAUUGACGGUUGCAAUUUUCCGUCAUGAACGAGGAAUACCUUGUAAGCGCGGGUCAUCAUCCCGCGCUGAAUACGUCCCUGCCCUUUGUACACACCGCCCGUCGCUCCUACCGAUUGAGUGGUCCGGUGAGGCUUUGGGAUCUGAGGGGAAAGAGCGUUUCGCUGUUUCUGCCCGGAAAACUCAGUCGAACCUUAUCAUUUAGAGGAAGGAGAAGUCGUAACA